CCACAAAUUAUGACGUAGGCUCUCCCACUUGGGGAGACCUUAGACAGAUGCACCACCGAAGUGCAAUGGAGGCCAUCUACCUAGGCCAUGAGCCUUUUUGAUCGCCCAUUGACCCCGUCCAGGUAAGUAUGUUUCCCAGUUCGCCCAUGCUUAUUUUUUAUAGCAGCUGGUCACAUCUCCUCUUCAGUGUUUCGACGGUGUGGGACUCAAGUUGUUAUGUAACGUCAGUCUACUUGUCAGAUAUGGCAAUCGGGAAAAUCUGAAAUGAAUUGUUGAGACUCUCACCUCUCGAGUAACCUCAUGCCUUAUAGUAUGUUGUGAUAUAGGAAAGAUUGGAUUCUGAAGGAAGGAUUCACUUCAACAGUUGGGCCACUCCUCUAGCACUCUGUUUGGCAUUGAAAUUCCAGGCACAAGUCUGCUUCUUGUCCUUGUGACUUGAGAAGCAAGCACCAAGAGGUUCUAAGAUUUUGCCUCCGAAUUAAACGUUUUAAAUUUAAUCAUCAGUCCUUCCACCAAACCAAUUCAUAAAUAUGAAGCAAGUGAAAAAAAAUAUCCAUUUUGCUAUCGUUGUAGCUGCAGAAACACAACUUUGACAAACCUUACCCAAAUGUUCUCGCCUAAGGUUCUACCUUACCAUUCACUUUGCCAUUGAUAUCGACAUCUAAUUGCAAGCAAAAUGUGUCGAGCAACUUAAAUAAGAUAUCAUAUGUCUUUGCUAUGAUAAAAAAUGGAAGAGGCAAAGAGUUCACCUCCAAGACUAGCGGAAUCCCGGUGCGAAACCAGCCUCAUGCAUUUUUCAUUAUUGACCCUUUUAGAGAAUUUGCCUGACUGAGAAGCAAAAGCUUUUUCUGCAUCUCGUAUAACUAAGUUAUGUUCGCAUGUGUGCACAAGUUUCCUUGGCUCAAAGUAGAAUUCAGGCAACAAAACCAUCUCAUUCUCAUCUCUCUACCCCUCUUCCUCAGAAAAAUAUUUAAAAUCAACCAGGCAAUUAUGCAAAAAUCAGUGCUUGCGAUGGUCACAAAUUGGAUUCAACCGAUUUCAAACAGUCAAUAGAAAGGCAAAAGCUGCACACCAAAUAUCGGUUUCGAAAAACAACUUGAUAAAAGCAAGCACAUUCCUGAACGGUGUGUAUAAGAUGUCUCAUUUGGCUCUCAACUGUAGACGAUAAGAUGCCAAGAGAAAGUGGAAUACUCUGUGUGAAACAUCAGAAAAGUAGUUCACUUUCAUCCUAAAUAGUUUUAUUUUGAUAAAUGAAAUAUAUAAUCACAUAAAACCCACUAUCCAAGACCACAAUGAUUUUGUAGCUGCACAGCAAUUGAGACACAUUAACACAGUAUAUAAAAUACAUGGCCUGCAGUGAAAGGAUAAAAUUUUCUCUUCAUCUUCUGAUGUCUGCAUGCAGAUAUACAUAUCGAACCUCUUAACACACGCACUUCAGCGAUUGUGCAUGUUUAUAAUAUAGUGUGAUUGGAGGAGACGAAGUAGACAGUUGGAAUUUCUUAGAAGGCAAUCAAUUUGGCAAUGAUUAGACAACUAAAAAAAUAAUUCAAAGAUAAAUAGAUUGCAUACACUGGCAGGACACAAAAUGAGGCUUUCACCACAAAUCAUGAACCAUAACAUAUUCUUUUAGCAUUGUAACUGCAUCGAUUUGUCUCAUUUUGACAUCAUCAAGGCUAGAAGCAUAGUUGAUUUACAACCUCUUUGAAAGAUGAUCUCCAGUAGUCUUGGCUUGAGGUAGUAUACUAAAUGAAAAACAACACUGUCGACAGAAUUUAGAAGCAUAGUUGAUUUACAACCUCUUCAAAAGAUGAUCUCCAAUAGUUUUGGCUUGAGGUAGUAUACCAAAUAAAAAACAACAUUGUUGGCAGAAGUUUUGUUAUUAUCCACAUUUUGUUUCACGAAAAAAAUUGCUCUCAAAAAGAAUAAAAACGAUUAGAGAACAACCAAAUGGAGCUAUAGAACUUCAAAGCUUUUAUGGAAUCCAUUACACUGCUACACUAUAUUGUCCUAGGAGUUUUCUUAAUCAAUUCAGAUCAGACAAUCAUGCCACACAAGUCCACAUAACCCAUGCAUGGUCAGAUAUCCUGAAGUUACUUCAUAAGAACUGUAAAGUCAAAAUCUUAACACAUCAUAUAUGGGAUGCUUGACAUUUAGAAUCUAUGCCUUGAACAUAAAUUCAUACAUGUUUAUCAUCAGCACAGAUCUUUGUAGUGUACAUUGUAAUUAAUUUUUUAAGUAAUAGUUUGGAGGAAAUCUUUUGUUAAUAAAGAUCACAAGUGCCGCGUCAUUUUCCUGUUUGAUAGCAAGUAUCAUUAAUCGACAUGAAUGCUACCAUAAACUGCAAUGACACCAACUUUCUAUCUAUUAAAAUGAUUACUCUAUUUUCCACUGAUUGUAGGAAGGCUAUUCCCUCAAACUAAUGACCUCUCCAUGGUGAAAGUGAAAGUCUGAAACCUGUCCACAAGGUAAAGGUACUUAAACAAGUUAGGAAACCUACAAUAACUCAUGUACCAAAACAGCAACAGAGCAUGAUUUUUCUUUUAACUAAGAUUUUUAUCAGUUAGAAUCAACUGCCAUAUAGGAAUUGCACAGAUCAUGCUAUCCUCAAACAUGAAGUUCGUUCAACAGUUAUAUAUCUUCCACUUAAAAGUUAACCCCUAAAAUAGAGUUAAUGCUUACAGAAUACAUCGUGUUGAAAGGCCAGUAUGGAUUUAAAUGGUACAAAACCUGUUUUUAUAUAUCAUCAAAUCUCAUAAAUGUCAUCUAUAAGCAAAAUUUAUAUCAUUCAAUUAAAAAAACUAUCUACAGCCUCACCUUAAACUCAAGAAAACUUGUUAUAGUGACUGUUAUAAAUAUCAAAAAGACUCAGAGGUCACAGGCAAUAUCAUUCGUCCAAUGUCAAGUAAAACUUUACCAAGAUAACUAUUCAAGGUUUACAAUCAAAACUAGAAUGAAUGGCUAUCACUCAAAGUAGCAUCAAUAAGAAACCAACAUUCUGUUAUAAUCUCUAACUUCAUCCAACAACCAAAGAUAACAACAAGGUAUGAAAGCAUCAUCAAGAGGUCAGGUGAGAGCUAUCACAAGAUUAACAAAAAUAUCAUCACGAUUCCAAUCAUGUCUAUCAAUGACAGAAAAUUAGUGCAAAUAUUAUCAAAAUUUGCAAAUAUAAACAAUUUUCUUGCUCAUUUGGACAUGAAUACCAAGCUGCAUAUGGAAAAGUACUUCUACAAACUCAAAUUCCACAUAAUUCACAUAAAAUUUAAAGCAAUCUAACCAAAACAGAAAUGUUAUAUCACCAGUCUAAAUUCAAAAAUACAACAUUACCAUCAUCUAUUCUACCGAUGAAUAUUAAGCAUAUCUUUUGCUUCACUCUGUUCCUCCAACAAUCCUUCACUCGCAUACUUAUUCAAUAGCUCCAUCUUCUUCUUCUCCACAACCAUCCUCUCAAUCUCUUUCUCAUCCGGCAACGGCACGUGAACAACAAACUCCCUCUCCUUCUCCAUCCUCUCCUUCUCCUCUCUCUCCCUCUCCCUCCUCUCCUCCUCCACCACAUCCUCCUCUUCCUCAAACAACACCUCCCUCACCGCAGCCCCCACACUAACCACCUCCUUCGCCCCUCUCCUUGCCUCUCUCCUAAUCUCCUCUACUCUCCUCCACUCCUCCUCCGCUUCCGCCCUUAUCUUUGCCUCCGCAGGCCCCUCCACUCUCUCCAAAACUCCAUCCUCAUCAUCCCUAUACCCAUAAUAACUCGCAUCAAUCCUCUUAUAUAUAUCAUAUCUCGUUCUUCUCUUUCGCAAUUCCGGCGGCUUCUCAAACAACUCUCUAACUCCCGGCAACUUCUUUGCAGCUCCAAAAUACCGAUACCCAGGCCCUCGUCCGCUAGGGUUUGGAACAUCCACUAUAUUCCCUUCUAAAUCCGUCAUUUUAGGAGCGUGUUUGGCAUAAUUCGAGCCGCCAAGUUCGACAAUACGGCGUUCCCAAUGUGACUUUUCCCGUAUGAGCUUGUUGAUCUCGUCGUUGAGGUCGCGGAGGCGGUGCUCCCCGAGACCUUCGUUUUGGAUCUCGGCGACUUUGCGGCCUAUCUCUCGCAUGAUUUGUUGACGCCAUUUGUCAGCCUCGGCGAGGUCGCGGCAUUCCGAGGCGAGGUAUGGGCGGCGCUCUUUGGGUUUCUUUUUUUCCUCGGCUUUUAGGGCUAUGAAUCGAUUGAGCAUCGAUUGAGCUUUCUCUUCGUUUCGAGCCAUUUUCUGGAUAGGGGUUUUAGAAUGGAGAUUAAGGUGUCUACGAAGGUUAUAUUGACGGAGAGUGAGAACUAAACCCUAAAAAAAUCAAAACACCUGAUAAACCCAGCAAGAAGAGGGAAGAAACGAGGGAUCUGGAUUCAACGUUGGUACCACUGUAGAAACAGUUUAGGCGGCACGUCUGAUGUCGUUCUUGAUAUUUUUAUAUAUAUAUUUUAAAGAGUUUGUCCUUAAUUACUACUCCAUUUAGAAUUUAAAUUUAUGAGUUAAAUAAAAAGUUGGAGAAGGAAAUUUAAAUAUAUAUAUAUAUUAAAAUGAUUAAUAUUUUCUAUAUUUGAUAAUAACUUUUUCUUAGACUAUUUUGUUAAUUAAUCUUUAACAAAUUUGUAUAAUCAUCUCCAGUUCUCCUUUUUUGUCAAUCAUACUAUAUAUUAUCUUUAUUAUACUACUUUAGCCCCUCAAUUUUGAUUAUUAGAAAUAAAAUUAAAAAAAUAACUUGAUUUUUGAAACUAACAUAAAAUAAAAAGAGAACAUAAAAUUUGAACUUGAAAUUUUUUCUUUAAUAGCUUUUUGAAUGUUAAAACAUAAAUAAAAAACCUACCUAAAUAAUAUAUUUCAAUAGUAAAUAUAUAUUUAUACUUAAAAAAAUUAGCUAGAAUAACUUUAAAAAAUUAACUUAUUUAAAACAUUUUAAAUAAUAUCUUAUUCUUUUAUUACAUUUAAUUAAGUUUUUAUAUUUUUAAUUUUGAGUCAAAUAAAUCUUAAGAGUUAAUGAUUGAUUAAAUAUUAUUCAUCAAAAUAUUACUUGUCAUGCAAUACUAUAUAACAUUAAUGUAUCGUAAUGGAUAAUAAUUUAUCAUGCCAAUGUAACAUGAUAAAUCAUAUGAAAUUUUUCAUCAUUUAUAUUAACAUCGUAUUAAUGCCAUAUCAACAAUGCAUGAGAGUAAAAUAAUAAGUACAUUUUGACUAAUGAUUAUUAAUUAAUUAUUAGUUAUAAAAACUUAUUUGAUUCAAAAUAAAAAUAUAAAAACUUGAUUGACUAUAAUAGAAAAUAAACAAAUUAUUUAAAUAUUUUUAAAUAAUUUAAAGAUUUUUUAAAAUAUUAUAUAAAAAAUUAUUUAGAUAAUUUUAAACUUAAUUAUGAAUCCAUAUAAAAUUUGAAUAAAAUGAAAUUUUUGCCAUGGGGCAAAGAGAAAUGUAAACACAUUAUAUGCGUGUCUAAAACCAUUUUGGUUCAACUAAGUAAUAAAAGUGAAAUGAGAUUUAAAUAGAAAUUAUAAAUUCUAAUUGUAAAAAAAAAUUGAUUGAAUUAUAAUAAAAAAAUUACUCAAACUAAUGAUUAAAUAUCUAAAUAUCUGAACUUUUAUUUUGAAUCAAAUAUACAUUUCUCGCCGUACAUUAAUAAAUUUUUUUAUGUGACAUCAUCAUGCGGUACAAUCAACCGUUAAUAAAAAGAUUUUAUUUGAUACAAAUAAAAGUUUAGGAGUUUUUUUAAGUGUAAUAAAAAGAUAGGGACUAAAUUAUUAUUAUUUUUUUGUAUAGUUCGGAAGCUUAUUUAGAUAUCUUACCUAAGUUUUUAUUUUUCUAUAGUGUUUAAUUAAACUUAUUUACUUUUAUUUUGAGUCAAAUAAAUUUUUAUAACUAAUUUUUAAUUAAUUAUCAUUAAUUAAAAUAUCAUUUAUCAUUUUAUAUUCAUAUGACGUGGACAGUAAAAAAUACGAAGUGACAAUAUCAUCACACAUCACAUUCAUUAUAACAUGUCAAUAUUACGUAAUAGUAAAUGACAAACGACAUUGUAACUAACGAAAAUUAAUCAACCAGUAAUAAUAAAUGUUUAUUUAAUAUAAAAUAAAUAUACAAUAACUUAAUUAAAAGUAAUAAAAAUUUAUUUAAAUUUUACUAAAUAAAAAAUGGAUUUCUUUAGAUAUUAUAUAUUUAAAACUAUAUUAUUAAUAAUGAACUUUUCAAUGAAUUUUACUUCAAAUUUUAAAAAUUAAAAAUAAAUAGAAAUAUUCGAACAUACUGUCCCUUCUAAUUAAUUAUCAAUCUAUCUUAAUUAAUCAAAUUCAAUCUGUUUUAAUCAAUUAACAUCAGGUUCAACCAAUUAAUAGUUAUGCCGCUGAUGAUAGAAGCUAACAAGAAACUGAGCGAUGGUUGAGGUACAUAUGAAGGGAGAAAGAGGAACUGCGGAAGAUUGCAGCAGCAACUGAUUUGGACGACUUACAAUGGUAGCUAUAGCCUAUGUGACUAAAAUUGAUUCUUGAGAGACCCACCACCACCAGAUAACAGUUUGACAGAUGAAUUGUUCUCGAAAAGGCACAAAGUAUUGUCUAAGCAGUGAAAGCUCAAGAGCUUGGUCUGAUAAGAAAAAGUGAUUUAACAUUAUGCAAAGAAAACAAAAUGCGUUUCUUGGAGGUGUUAAUGACAACAGAGUUUUGCCGGCUGCACGCAGAGGGCCGAGACAAACCAUAGAAAUUCCGUCCGGUUGCUCAUAGGGCUGAAAGAGAUUGUUGUAGCUUACGACGGUGCCACUGCUAGCAAGCUUUUAUUUGGUAGGAACUAAAGUACUUUACAAGCUGACUCAUAUGAGGAGAUUGAAUUUCCUCUUCAUUAGUGAUGAGAAUUUAUGAAAUAACAAUAACUAAUAACCUAGUUAAUGGAGUCAAUGAAUACACACAAGCACAAAAUGUCAAAAAACGUUGAAAUUGAUAAGAGAAAUCCAGGCUCAUGCCACUUACUUCACCUUGCGCAAGAAAUAGCUAAAGCUUCUAUGCUGGGAAAACCACGGAAAAUUCACUACAACCUUAGUAGGCUAUUUAAGCCAUCAAUUUCAGUAAAAACAACACCAUCAAUUUUGAGCCAUCAGAUUAUUGCAUGCAAGUCUUGAAAAACAUCAUUGUAAGUUGCCUAUGCUAGGAUUACAACACAUCAUCAAAGAAGCCAGUUUCAAUGUUGAACCAGAAAAUAGUACAUUGAUAAGUUUUCACAAAACUAUUUUCAGGUACCUAACAUUUAGAUAUUUUUAAUACUUUAAAACCGUCUGCUGUCAGAGAAAACCACACUACACUGCAGCUAUAAUGGAUCACCAAUUUCAUAGGUAAGGAACGUCCCUUCGUUCUGCAGCCACAAGAGAUCCUAGAGUGAGAAAAAGAUGGUAUUCACUAAAACAAGCAAGUUCAUCUUAUAAAACCAUCAAAGUUCCGAAUUGUAGAGCCACAAGAAUAGCAAGCAGGUGGAGAAAUUGCAAACGUUGCUGAGACAGGAACAGUAAAGAAAGUUCUUGCCAGCUAGCAAUUGACGAAUCAAGCAAAUAUACAUUCAAGAUACCUUGACAUCAAAGACAUACUUGCUUGGCCAACUCUUUCGACACCAAAAUAUAGCACUGCUCAUAAAGACUUCAUGAGUAAGAAAUGCAUGUGUGAUAUUUGGAUUAUUAAUAUAUUCCACAAAUGUUUACUCUCAGAUAAAACCAAAUGUCCAAUCCACAUCAAACAUGGAAAAAAAAAAAAAGAGUUGCUCAAAAAUCUCUCAAAAUUAGAAGUCUGAGUGAACAACAUGAUGCCAAUGCUAUGAAAAUUUAACGGGCCAACAUGUUGAACUCAUCCAGAGAAGGAAAAACUUUUCUAUUAUGUAACUUGAUUGACAUCAGGCAAUUCAAGAACUAUUGAUCCAACAAUGAACUUUUCAAGUAAAAUCCUGUUUUAUGUCCUAAUGAACAUUGUCAAAACAAAUAUUUCAAACAAAGCUAUAAAGUAAGAAAUGGAACAUCUUUAAUGCAAAAUCAGUCACAAAAAGCAUCCUUCUAGACUUGGGAUGUCCCAUGAGCAGGCCCUUUCUUUCACAAACUGACAUUGUGAUACUCUAGGUUGGAAAAUUUCCAGUGACAACAAGUUAAAAAAAUCAGUCAGCCACAUAUCACUUCUACCUUUGAUAAAUUUAUUUCAAGACCAGAGAUCAGUUAACUAAGAUUGAAAAUGAAAUAGUCCAACCAUUCUGAUCCAAACCCAAAAUGAUUUCAAUAAUUAAGGUCAAUUUCAACUAUCAAACAAAUUCAGAAUUGUCAAGUGAUGCAUCGGUGAUACCUAACUAACAAAAACUAACUCAUAUUUGGUUUUUAACUGAAUUACAUUAAACCCACAAAAAAAAAAUUGCAUAUACACUCCAUCAAAAAUAAAACUUUUAAUAUAAAGAAAACAGCUUUUGUUCUAAAACACCUAACAAUUCAUCAAGAACCCAUUUCAUAAUUCUAAAUUAAAACACUUAAACAGCAAAAUGUACCUUUCACCUAGACUUCACCUAAGCUUCUGCUUCCCGGAACUUUUCCUAGCCGCUUCCUUAACCUUCUCAAUAUACCCUUCAAUAGGCGGAGUCAAAGUGGCCAUAAACCUAUUCGCCGGAAAUGGGGUCAAAUCCGGUACCAAAGCCGCCUCCUUAAGCUUCUCUGGCAAGGCCUCAAUCGCCUCCUUUUUCAUUCUCAACAAAUUACUCUCAGCCGCCUGCCUUGCCCUAUGCUUCCUCAUUAAAACCCUACUAUACUCCUUAGCCAAUCUCCGUCCAUCCUCCACCGUCAGCUCGUAUUUGGGUAUCUUAUCAGCAUCAAUAAGGCCCAAUGUGAUCAAAUCCAGCCCAGGUGUCCCCAUUAUCAUAGGAUCAUCAGGAACUCCCAUCGCUUUUCUUCCUCCUUUCUUCAAAAUCUCCAUUUCCCUUUGCCGUUCUUUGCUUAUUAAUCCCAAUUUUUCCCGCUCGGCUUCGCGGGCUCGCUCCUUGGGGGAGAGGUGACGGACUGGAGUGGGGGCAUUGAGGCAUUGGUCGUAGAGUCUUUGCUUUUCGUCGGGGAUUCGGCCACCUUUCGGGAGUGAAUCGUCGGUAGGAGCACCGCCUUUACCUUUUUUAGUGGAGACUUUGGAGCGCUUUAAAGAUUGGCCGGCUUUGAGUUUGGCUUUGCCCUUGGCGGUUCCGCUGACGGUGCAGCGUUGGAGGAGUCGGUGACCGAGUGUUGUUAGAGGUUUGGGAUGGCUUGCGAUGCGGAUCAUGGUUUUUCUGGGGUUUAAGAAACUCAAUAAUUAAAAUGCUUUCUAUUUCCUGAAAUGAGAAAAUGAAAGAAACUAAGGUUUUGGGUUUUUCAGAAAAUGAGAUACGGCCCCCCGCCCCUCCCGUGGAUUUGAUGUUAAACCUAGUUGGAGACCGUCUGAGUCCCCCAACCUACUAAUGGCCCAUAUUAUUUCCAAGGUGACUUUUACGGCCCAUUUAUUUUUGUGCAAACUAUUGUGUUAUGAAUUUAAACCAAAUGAAAUCAUAAUAGAAAAAAAUGCUAUAGUGUUUAUCAAAUAUUCUUUAUUACACUUAUUUUAUUUAUUUAUGAAUAAUAACAAUUAGUUAAAACUUGAACCAAACCAUAUGAUUAAAUAAAAAUUUAAAACUACUUCAAUUUUAAGUAAACACAAACUUUUUUUUAAAAAAAAAACAUAUUUAUCGCAAUUACGAGUCAAUUAGAGAUGACUUGAUUUAGUGUCAGGUUUGAGUUCAGCUCAGUUAAAAAACUCAAGCCUGAUGCUUAAUCAAAUUUUAUUUUUAUUUGUGUUUAAGCUCUACAUUUGAAUUAUUUAAGUUAGAUUUGAUUAAAGGUAAUUAUAAUUAACUUAAUUUAAAUUCAAAAUUGAUAUAAAAAUUUAAAUAAAUAUUAUAUUAUAUUAUAUAUAUAAUAUUGAAAAAUUCAAAAUGAAUCACUGGAAUGGAAUAUUAUAAAAUUUAAUUUGGUUCAACAAUAAAUGAGUCAAAUUUAAAUAAUCAAACGGGGUUCAAAAUAAUUUACCAAUAAUUUGCACAAUAACAUUAUUAAAAAAAUAAGAUUGGUUUGAAGGGAAGAGACUCAUGAGAGCCUAAACGCAGUGGAUUUUUCAAAAAUACCUACUUCCUCCAAAAACCGACAAAAUGCAUUUUGGAAGUAACUGAGCGCUGAGCAGCCAUCGUUUAGCUGUCUUUUAGCCCAAACCCAAAGGCAGCGGUUUAUCACCGGUAGCGUUGUUGUAGCUCAACGCACAUAAUAAAAACCCUAAAGAAGGAAGACAAGAACAUUUUCAGAGAAAAAAAUGGGCAUGAAAGCUGUGGAUUUUUCGCUUAGAAUCAACCCUUCUAUUUGCUUUACUCAAAACCCUCCAAAACCUUCCUCCAAGCUCGUCAGAUGCUCUCUCUCCCCUGACGGUGCCGCCACUGGUAAACUCUUUUCCGUUUUUCUUUUCCUUCUAAAGUUUGUCUCUUCCUUUUUUCUGUGAUAUUGGGUGGUUUUCAGGGUUGGCGGAGAGGCCAUGGAAGUUAGCGGAUGCAAGGCUGGUUCUUGAAGAUGGUUCUGUUUGGAGGGCUAAAUCUUUUGGUGCCUCUGGAACCCAAGUCGGUGAAGUGGUUUUCAACACUUCUUUAACAGGGUAAGAUGAUACAUUAUUUGAAUUUUGGUUUCCUUUUAGAAUAAACAAAAUUAAGGAAAUUUUGACUGCUUGUUGAUGCUUAAUAUUAUAUUUCAACAUGAGAUUGCCUUAGCUUUUGGUUUAAAAUCUUAAGAAAUUUCAAAGUUUCUGAAUGACAAUAAUGGAAUGACGAAAGAAGGUGGGAUUUAAUAAACUUAAGUUGCAGUAAAUUUUUUAAUUUGAAGCUGUGUUUGAUAAGAUUAUCUAGAUUUUGUGUAAUAAUGGAAUUAAUGAAGACUUCUUCCUUUAAUUCAUUUUUGUUUUAAGGCUUGUCAUUGCUUUUAUAGUGGAGUUAUAAACUUUGUUAUCUGUUAUGUCUUUGUUUUGUUUCCUUCUCGUUGUAGAGUAAAUAUGUGGACUAUGGAAACUGAAGUUUAUCAUCUGUAGGCAUUGUCUAAUUCAUCGGCAAAAUAUAAUUGUUAUGCAGGUAUCAGGAAAUUCUAACAGACCCUAGUUAUGCUGGUCAGUUUGUCCUGAUGACCAAUCCACAUAUUGGCAACACUGGAGUAAAUUUUGGUAAGUAAAUUUUACCUUUCAAAUCCUUGCAAGUCUUACUUGUUGAAAAACUAUAUAUGAUCUGAUGUUGAUGCCUACCCCAUCAGAUGAUGAAGAAUCAAGUCAAUGCUUUCUUGCGGGCCUGGUGAUCAGAAGUCUAAGUAUUAAGUAAAUUUCGUCCUCUUCUCAAUCUCUUAGAUUAUGCCAUCUACAGCUUUCACACAAAAGGUUUGCUCCUUUGUUUCCCAAAUUCUAAUUAAAUGUUUUGCAGCACUUCAAAUUGGAGAUGUGCAGAAACCCUUGGUGAUUACUUAGCAGAAAGAAAUAUUAUGGGAAUUUGUAAGUUGUAUAUAUGGCACUGGAUAUCUAGAUAGUUGACUGCUUAACCUAAGAUGUACUGUGACAAAUCUUUUCUUUGGGCAUAACUUCUGGCCUCCUUUGAUCUCAAUGCUUUCCUAUAAUGGCAGAUGAUGUUGAUACACGUGCAAUCACCCGCAGAUUGAGGCAAGAUGGAAGUCUUAUUGGGGUUUUGAGCACGGAACAAUCUAAACCAGAUGAAGAACUUUUGGAAAUGUCACGUUCAUGGGACAUUGUAGGUAAGAAUAGCUAUACUUAUUUAAAAGUUAUGAGCACUUUUUAAAGGAUAAGCAAUCUUAUUCUUCUUGUCUUUAUUUUGCAGGUAUUGAUUUAAUAAGCGGUGUUUCCUGCAAAUCCCCUUAUGAGUGGGUUGAUAAAACAAAAUCAGAAUGGGACUUCAACUCCAAUGGAAGAGAUCGAGAGACUUACAGAGUUAGUAUUAUUUUUUAAAUUUUAUGUUGGAGGUUUUAAUCCUUGCUUUGUGUCUGCUCUUACACUGCUCCAUUUCUUUUUAAAUUGAAGGUUAUUGCCUAUGAUUUUGGGAUCAAGCAUAAUAUACUUCGGCGCUUAGCAUCUUAUGGCUGUCAAAUCACUGUUGUCCCAUCCACGUGGCCUGCUGCUGAAACCCUAAAGAUGAAGCCAGAUGGAGUUCUUUUCAGCAAUGGUCCUGGAGAUCCUUCGGCAGUUCCUUAUGCUGUUGAAACGGUUAAGGAAAUUCUGGGAAAAGUUCCUGUUUUUGGAAUUUGCAUGGGCCAUCAGUUACUUGGCCAGGCCUUGGGUGGUAAAACCUUUAAGAUGAAGUUUGGUCACCAUGGAGGAAAUCAUCCUGUUCGCAACCUUCGCAAUGGUCAUGUUGAGAUUAGUGCUCAGGUGUGUUUAACUAGCCAAAGUGUUUCCAUGCAUAAAUAAGUCCCUUGUGUGCAUGUAUAGUUUUGUCAGCAUGGAUUUAAAUUUUACUCUGGGAACCAACUCCACUCCACUUAAACACCCCCUUGUCUCCUCCCCANNNNNNNNNNNNNCCCCCAACCCCCCCCUAACCCCUACCCCCCCCAAAAAAAAAAAAACCGAAAAACAAAGAAAAACAAGACACACACACACACACACAAAAAUGAAGAAAACAAAGUUUUGAUAUAUUCAUCUGAAUAUUGCAGAUCUUAUUUAUAUUUUUAUUGCAAUGUUUUGCAUUUAUACUAUUUAUAAGUUUGGAUGUAUAUCUACUUGGUUAGAUUUGUUUAAAAGUGCAUUGUAUCAUUUGGGUUGUGUUUUCACCUUAGAAUUUAUUAUUUGGCAGAAUCACAACUACGCAGUUGAUCCUGCAUCACUCCCUGAGGGUGUGGAAGUGACUCAUGUCAAUCUUAAUGAUAGAAGCUGUGCUGGUCUUGCAUAUCCUUCUUUAAAUAUUAUGUCUCUUCAGUACCAUCCUGAAGCAUCCCCAGGACCUCAUGAUUCAGAUUGUGGUGAGAACUUUGUCCUACAUCUAAUUUUGACGUAUUGGUUUUCAGUUUUUCCUUUUUAACCAAGAUCAAAGAUUCCCAUGUUUGUUAAAACCAUUUCUUUUGCUCAACACACGUUGUUUCUUGCCACAGCUUUUAGAGAAUUCAUAGAGCUUAUGAAGUCAACAAAACAAGCUGCUUGAGGGAAUCUGUGAUAUCCAAAGGUUCAAAUUUUUGGGUAUUGUCUUUGAUUGGCGAUGUUUUGAAGAGCUAUUGUUUGGUUGAUAUUUGCUUUAUCUAGAGAGAAGGAAGAAGGGAGUGCUCUAUGUCACAAUUUUGUAUGAAAUAGUUUAGAUACUUUGUAUGUUUUCUAUUUUUGAACUGUACUUGAUGACUUAUAGAAAGAUAAACACUAAUUAUUGGCAUUUACUUUUGGCUCACAGUACUCUUUGUAGUUUUAGCAUAAUAUUAUCUUGUCUUCAAAGUGAGGCGGCAUGUUCAUUUUCCUAUUACUAGAAUGGGAGUAGGGUAUUGUAUUGAGAUCCUGGUGUUAAGGAGAUGUGUGAAAAUAAUCUACUCUACUGCUGUUAAGUCCCAACAGCACGAGUGUAUAAUGCUCACCUCUGGUGAAGAUGGAAGAGACAGCUGCUAGCACUUGUCACUCUGUAUCCGUAUUGGGUUGCACUUAUGUGAUAAGUAGAUCCACAAUUCAAAUUAUGUUUUAGCAAGAUUCUGCAGGUGAAAAUCACUUCUGAAGGUAAGCAGGAAGUAGCUAGAAAUGUACAUGGUACAAUCAGCAACCCUCUAAUAAAACAAGAAAUUUUCCAAAUAUACAACCAUUUGGAACAAAAACCGGCCAGGAUGCAUUUGAUUGAGAAGAAUCAGCAUUUAUCAUCUAUAUCUCAGGCAUAUGAGGGAUAAUAUUUAUUUAAAAAAGAAAUACUAAUAACAACAUGAAUUUUAGUUAAAAUCACACUAAGCAAAGAGUAGGAAAUGCUGGCCGGCUUCAAUCCAUCGGCCUAAUAUUGGCUUUGUUAAAGUUAAAAUGUCUAAAUGCUAAAUAGUCCGACUGUUUCACAUAAAAUGACAUUUGAAAAGUCAGCCUGGGAAGCUGAAAUUUGAUUCAGGUUGUCUUGCAGCUUUCUGAACAUGACUGUCAUCUCCAAAAUAACUAGUUCUUUUUAGGGUCUUGCCAAAUAAGAAUUGGUGGCAGGCAGGCACCUCAAUUUAAAAAUGUAGCAAAGCAACCAAUUGAAGGAUGAAGAAUCAGGAAAGCGUGCCAAAGCACCAAAUGCGACUAGCUUCAUUCUACAUUCUUUCACUGUUUCUGUUUUCUUUUCAAAUUGUUCCAUUGUUGAUCGGGUAGGUAGGGACUAACAUUUGACGAGCUGCUUCUCUUCAUGGCCAGAGUUGCAAUUCCAUCAGGUUGUUUGUAGGGUGAUUGGAGUAUUCGCCUUUGCACCUGAAUUUCAUGGCAGGCAGUAUAUGGUUAAAUAACUAAAAACAAGUUAGUUCAUCCAAUAUAUUUUUAUUAUUAUUUGCAAGAUUAAAUUAUUACAAAAUAAAUUAGGAAGCAUUCUUUGCAUGCAAAAGUUGAAAAGAAAGUAUAAGUGAGAGAAUUAGUAACUGAAUUGAGCAAAGUCAUCAGUCCAUCUUAAACAUUAAACAACUGACAUGGUUAAGUAAUAUUGUAAAUGAAUAAGACAUCAAUCCGUUAAACCAUUGAAAUCCAAAAAAUACCGAGUUAGAUGUGAUGCAAACUAAGAGAUUGGCAUUAUAUAUUAAUAUGAAUUUUAUGAAGCAAUGCAUGGAAAGAUCUACUCUCAAAAAGUGUCAUUCACCCUAGCAGCAACUAUUAGCCAGUUCAUAUGAGAAGCAAAGAUUUCAUGUGUGAAACGGGCAGACAUACAAAAUCAAGCAAAUAGUAUCCUAAAAGAAAUGUAAAUAAAUCUGCCAAUAUUGGUGUCCAAGAAUCACCAAUAGCAACAUGGAAGCAAAGAUAAAUCACAAAAGGCAAACAUGAAACUAUUAACUUCUUUUGGAAGCUCAUCCUUAUGCAGGAAAGUCUUCAAGAAUGAGAGGUAAUUUUCUUAUUUCCAUGAUCCAGAAACCAAAAAAGAAAAAAACUAUAGAGCAUUUUACCUGAAGAAUAGUUUCCAUUGCCUUGAAAUAUUAAGAUUUAGGAGAUCAUUUCGACUGUGUUUGAUACCAUGAACAUAAAAAAGAGAGUAUGACAUCAAAAAAUGGAAUGCUUCCAGGUAAGUGGAAAGCAGUAGGAUCUAACCAAUAUUAAUACCAAAAGGACCUACAAUGCUAUUAAGAAGACCUGCCAUUUACCACAUUAUGUUUUCUGCUAUAUUUAGCUCAUCGUCAUAAAGAGAAGGGCAUACAGUUAUCAUCUAAUAUAAAAAUAUAAUCAAAACUUAGAAUCCUACAGGGAAAAAGUUUUAAUGAAUAAAUACAAUGUAUUAACUCUUAUCAAUUGUCGUAAGAUUCUUCAAUUAUUGGAGGUCAAAGAAGAUUUUCCAGGAAGCUGGCAGCAGCUUGGCCACCAGCAAUCCCCAGUACAGAAUCUACCGUGUAUGAUCUCUUGAGCACCAGUUCCAGUCUCUGCUUAAAUAGGCAAAUUCUUGUGCAACACUGAAUUCAAAACUAGGAAGUGUUUGUUCACUGGGUUUUUGAGAUGGCUGAGUGAACUGGAGCUUCUGAAUUCUCCAGCUCACUGAUGUGGUUCUUAAGCUUUUACAAGAUGAGGGUCACUAGCUUCCUCCCUGUUUUACGAGUUUCAUAUUGGUUUUGGGAAAAACAAAUCUCCUCUCUUCUGUUGCUUUGGCUGGUUGAUGACUUGUUACAGGGGCAACUGACAUGCAUGCUAUGGAUAUCUGAUCUGGCAAUGGACUGCUAGAUCUGAUGUAAACAAUUAGCACUUGUUGCACCCAAAGUUGAGAAAAGAAAGGAGUAAUAAGCUCAGCAAAGCAGAAACAAUAACCACUAAAGGAUGCUGCAGGUUGCCAGAACUGAAGAACCGUCUCCACGGAUUAGACCAGUUCCAACUUUACUCAAUAUUGAGCAUGCUACUCUUUAGAAAAUCUUCUGACCAUCAAUGUGGAGCUGCUUUAUCAUCUAAGAGGUUCCAGAAAGAAGCUGAACCACAGAGCUAUCCUGAGAAAAAUAAUCCCAGUAAAAAGUGUGAAAUACAAGGGAAGUUGACAAAAGUUUCAAAUAGAUAUGAAAAAAGAGUGGAGAAAUUUUGAUAAGUAGGAGUGAAGCAGUGAUGUCAUUUCUGUUUUCUCAUUUUAUUUUUCCAAACAUGAAAAUAGUACUUCCUAUAAUGUUUCUGAUAAGCAAAUCAAGAAGAUUGUGGUUUUCUGCUUCUCUAAAAGAAUGGUUAAAACAAAAUUGUAUUUUUACACAGAAAAGUGUCCGCUAUCAAGGGGCUUACUUUUUAAGAAGCAAUCUAGAAAACCCAUACUUAACCCUAUGUUUGACUCUAGACCAGAGAAGAAAGAAAUGAAAAGAAAAUGGUAAAUUUGUCUUCCAACACUUUGAUAAUAUCAGUGGAGAAAAGAAAAAGAGAGAAUAUUAUAUUCCACACAUACAUGGACACAGCUAUCCACAUGCUUCUUUUCUGAUGUUUAUUUGUGUUAGUGAAAUACCAAAGCUAUCCCCAAGUGGGAGGUGGGGCAGCGCCAGUGGGGAUUACAGCUUUUAUGUCUCAGAUUAUGGUCCAUAGAGAUGAUACAAGAUGAACAUAAAUGCAAUAUGCCAUUUGAUGGCAGAGGAAAGUAAUAACAUCCAGAAUGCACUCCAUUAUGUUUACAGGACCUGCUCGUUCAAGCUUUUUUCUGUCCAUGCACCACAACAGUAAAGCUGUCAUGACUUGGGCCCAAGCACCACAGGCCAGCAACUUCUUGGGCCAAAGCAACAUGGCCCUUAAAAAGUUUAAGCUAAAGUUACUAGUAGCAAUUUACUUGGACCCUUAUAUGGUCUUAAAAUCACUUGCAUCAAAUGUGGAUAAGGUAACAAAAUCCCAUCCACUCAAAUACUUGAUGUCUUUCAUCAAGGCCACACAUCCACAAUCACAAUCAAGGCCCACUCCAUAGCACCAACAUUUCAUUAGCACCAUGUGGAGCACACACCGGGCUGACACAUGUUUUGAUACCAAAUGCAACAAGUUAAGCCCAAGCACCACUAACUUAGUAAUUUUUCAGGCUUAAACCACAUGACACUUAAAAGCUUAAGCUCAAAUUGUUAGUAGCGAUUGACUUGAACCUCUAUAUGAGUCUUAACAAUCACACUCACAUAAGAUGUGGGAUGGGAUAUCUCAAAAGCACAAACUAAUGGUGCUCUAAAUCCUAUCUAAAGAAUUUAAAAGGAAGCAGUGUCGUCAACAUGGACAAUUAUUUUAAGUUAUAAAGGACACAGGCAAGCCAAAUAAGAUGCCACCUUCCAAUGACACUUUCUUCUUCUCUUUUUGUUCUUGUUCCUCUUCAUACUGCUUUCUUCGUUGGGUGCUUGCUUAUGGUUUUUUAACCAGGCUAGUAAAUCCAUAAAUCCAAGAGCUCAUAAUAGGAGAAGAAGUACCAAAGAUAACGAGACAAGCAUAUCUUAAUUUGAUAAGAAGAGUUGCGACAUUAUGUAAAGUGUGUCAAAUUGAAAGUGUGCAGUAAAUUUACCAACAAGAAACCCACAUCAGAAUUAUACCAAAGAUUGGCAUUUAGCAAUCAUACUUCGACAGUGGCAUAUAUUUAUCCACUUCAGUAAAUGUGCAACAUCAUCCAUUGUUCUUUUGGCCAACAUGAGAUUAAUGGAGCUAAGCUACUGCCAAUGACUAUUUUUCUUCUCUUCUUUAGCAUCUCAAAUAAUAUCACCAGACUAGUAAAAUAUGACACAAAAAGCUAUAACCUAUUUCUUUCAUUCCAAAUAAUCAGAAAAAUAUACUAAUAACACAUCAAUACGUUGAUUAGAUAAACUUCAUCCUCUUUGGAAACCAAAAAGUAAGAUUAUGAAUUAAACAACAAAGAAGUCCUCUUGCUCCAAGAGAAGAUGUGCUUGGUAGCUAGUUCAGCAUUACAAUAGUAAUUAAUCAGUAUAGUUGUUUUGGCAUCCAGAGGUACUUUGGUUAUUUUAUGUAUUGCCGGAAUGGCCCUUAGAGUUUUAUGUUCAUUCAAACUGUUGGAUUUUAAAGUAUUCUUUAUUUUAUAUUAGUUGAGUUCUAUUCCUGAGUCAAAUGGUUAGGAAUCUAGUCCACCAAGUAGGACAAGUUAGUAAUUGCGUAUUAUAUCUCUUUGUCCGGUCAAAAAUGGUAGAGUUGAUUUUAAUAAAGAUUUGAGUUCAUGAGAAUUCUUGGAGAAUUUGUGAUUGAGUUUUCCCUCCCUUCUUAUUCUCUCUUGCUACAAGAUUCUCUGGUGACUGUUCACAGAUUUGAAACGGCAGCAAUCAUUUGCUCUAUUCUAAUUGUACUGCUACAAGAAAAUUCCAGCAACCCUUCCCUGACUUUCCAGCCCUCUUUUGAGUUCUGAUCUCAACUGAAUUUAUCCUAGUUCAAUGCAAAACCCUAACCUUAAUUUUACCAUAAGCCCUUAACUUAUAUAAAGGGCAUUUUAUGGUCUAGACACCAUAUACCCUAACUGGGCCAACAGUUUCCAGUCUGUCCUACAUCAUGUAUACAUUUAGCCUAUCUGCAACUGUCAAACAUCAUUCUUAAGGUGAUCACGAUCCUUACAUUGAUGUUUCUACAUCCCUUAUAGAAUGUUGAACAAUAGAGUAAAAAUGCAAUUCAGAAAUGCACUUAAUACUUCAAAACCCUUUUCUUGAGGAGACCAAACUUAAUGCAAUUUUUGUGAUCAAAACAGGAUAAGCUUGUUAAUUUGAUGAAUAUUAUUCAGAAAGCAUUAAAUUUGUAAUUAUGAAAUGGUUUUAACUUGCACAGUUUCCUCCUAAGAAUACCUUGCAUCUUCUCUUCAAGCUGCAUGAUGCUUUCAUGGAGCAAAUUAAUUUUCCAAACCUGAAAAUCAAGUUAAAAAUAAGGAGAAGAAACACCAUUAAAAGAAAAAAGCAGAGAGGUAUCCAGCGUCUUUGGAGCAAAUUGCAAAACAGAAUAAAAAAAAAUUUAACCUGAAGUUGUAAAAAUUCAUCUCUCGUCCUCCAGUAUCAGAUCUCGUGAAUACAAAGGUUUGCGCAGCUUCACAUCCUCAAGCUACACAGUAAUUGCAAGCAAAUUCAGCAUAUUGAAUUACUCGAGUACCAAAAGGAUUAUUACGUGCUAUUAUAAGUACAUACUUUGAACACUCAAAUCUUUACACAAAAAUUAAACAAGAUAAGAGGAAAGAAUGAUUUAUCCCUUUAUGCCAGCUUAAACACUGCACCACUCUCGAACACUAAUUUUUACAUCAACAUCCAAUUCCCAACAGAAACCUCAUUGCAUAUCACAUAUAUGAAAAGAAUCACCAUAAGUUCAUCCAAGUGCUAAAGUAUCAUAUGCGUGGUUUCAAUACCUGAGUCCUGAAAAAGCAAAUAACUUCUACUCUUGUUGUGAGAAAGCUUUCCUUCUUCAGGCCUGCCACAUACUAACAGGCCACUUUCAAAUAUAAAGAUAAGAUAAAAGGUCAUGUCUGAGCAUUUCUAUCCUGCAAGACAAAAUAUAAUGACAAUCACUCAGUAGCAUUCUAUGAUUCAAUGUAACUUAUGUUUUAGAUAAAUCACCCACUUGAGUCACAGAGGUCCUUACUUCUCACAACUCUCUUGGCUAUCAAGAUGUAAUGGUGCAACAUGGUAUGGGUAUCUGGCUGUAUGCCCUUACUUAGCAGUUCAUUAACAAGGGUUACAGCUUUGUCUAUAUAUCCUCCUUUAAAAUAGCCUGAAAUAAGAGCUGUAUAUGUCACAGUAUCAGGUUCCAAUCCUCUAUCUAUCAUUUCGUCAAAGAUCCUACUUGCAUCCUGAAGAUUGUUUGUCUUACAGAACUGAUCAAUCAAAACCGUAUAGCAAACAACGUCAGGUUCUACUCCCAUGUGCUUCAUUUCACUCCAAAAAGGUGAAGCAACCAUUAUUGUCUUGCCAUUCUUUUGUGUCACAUCAGGAUUAGAAAGAGACCUCAAAUUCAUUUUCAUAUGGCUGUUAAGCAAGACUGUAUAAGUGAUAACAUCAGGUUUAAUCCCUCUCUCCUUCAUAUUAUUGAAAAGAUCCAAGGCCUUCUGCAAAAGUUUCACCUUACAAUAUCCAUUUAUCAUUAUUGUGUAAGUAACUAGAUCAGGUGUUAGCCCCUUCUUAAUCAUAAUAUUAAACAACAGCUGGGCAAUACUCAAAUUUCCGGCCUGACAAAAUGCACCAAUGAGUUUACAGUACAUUAAUUUGGUAGGUUCAGCAUUCAAAGACAACAUUAUCUUGAGUAACAUAAGAGCUUUGUCAUUAUCACCUUUCAUGCAAAGACUACUGAGGAGUUUUGAGCAAGAAGCCUUUGUCACUAGAAAUCCCUGCUCAGACAGCUUAACAAAUAAUUUAAAGGCUUCUUUUGUUAGGCAUGCUUCACGAUAACCAUCAACUAAGGCAGCAUAAUUUUCCAAACACUUUCCCGGCAAACUAUCUAGAAAAUUUUCAGCUUCCUUCACCUUAUCUCCCAUACAUAAGCCUUUAAUGAUCAUGUUGUGUAUGACAGUAUCACAUUUCAAGCCUUGUGCCUCCAUAGAAUUUAAAAGAUCAACUGCCUUUUGUGCAUGGCCAUUUCUAGCUAAGCCGCCAGCAAGUACACUAUAAAAAACAAUAUCAGGCUUGUGGCCGUUGUUCUUCAUCUCCUUGAACAAGUUCCAUGCAUCUUCAACUUUACCUUGACGACAAUAUCCAUUGAUCAAAGUGGUAUAGUUAAUAACAUCGGGAGAAAUCUGUUUACCCUUCAUCUCAUCAAGCAAUUUUUUAGCUUCUUCCACUUGUCCUCCCUUGCAGAGAGCAUCUGCUAUUACAUUAUGACAAACCUCAUCAAGAAAAAUCCCAAUGUCCCUAAACUCCUUAAAUUGAUUUACAGCUUUAAAAUCCAGGCCCAUCUGACACAGGCUUUGAAGUAUUGAGGUCAAAAUCACACAGUUCGUUUUGAUACCCUUUGAUACCAUUUCAUGGUGAAUAUCCAAAGCUUUCAAUAUAUUCCCACAUUUGCAGUAUCCUCUUAUCAGGGCACCAUAAGAAGUCACAUCAGGAACAACCCCAUCGUUUUCCGCAUCAAAUAAGACAUCUUCAGCUACUUUCAAUUUCAUCUCCUUACUGAAGCCCCGAAUCACAACACUAUAAGCGAAGGGAUCAAGAGGAACCUUUGCCUUCCUGCACACUUUAAGCACUUCAUAACCUAAUUCUGUCCUACCAUGCAUACAAAGCCCUUCAAUAUAAGUUGUGUAAGCAAAGGCAUUUGGUCUAACUUCUGCUUCCUCCAUCUCUCGAAAAACAUUAAAAGCUUCCUCCAAACUACCCUUUUUGCAAAGUGCCUUAAUUAGAAUGCUAUAAGUAUAAUCAUUUGGCUUCAGUCCAAUUCUUUUUAACUGUUGAUAAGUAGCUACAGCCAUAUCAAUUUUCCCACAGUGAAUCAAACGAUUCAUAAGAAAAUUACAUGAAAAUAUAUGUGGAACAAAUCCACAUCUUCUAGUUUGAAACAAGAUAUUAAUAACUUCAUCAAACAUCUCGACACUAACAUAUGCCUUAAUUAAUGCAUUGGACAAUCGAACCAACAAGUAUGAGUCUUCUCCCUCAAGCCCCUCUUCAAGAGCUUCACACAAAUCCAUAAUUUCAAAGCCUAAACGUUUCUCUUUCCUAAUGAUUUCCAACAACACCGAAUCCAGUUUCCUGUCCCAACCCCAAUAACACAAUAUUCUCACAAUAGCAGUGUAUGUACAAAGAUCAUGAGAGAACCCAUCUUCAUUCAAUUGGUUAAAAAAUGACAACGCCUUAUUGGGCUGUUUUAUUAAAUUAUUCAAAGUUUGAACAACUUCAACUCUAUCUAAUUCAAAGAAGUGGUCACUGUUAUGAUUCAUAUUUGGGAUACUGACAGUUUCUUGCUCAUCAGAUGAACUGGAAGCUAAUUGGGCAAGAGCAUAGUGCAUCUGCUGGAAAACAAAGUAUUACAACAUUCUCAGUUUCCCUUUUUUAGGUUACAUUUAAUUCUUAUUUCUUACUUUUUGCUUCUGGAAUAGAAAAAAAAAAAAGGCAAAAGUGCAUUUAAGUACCAAAAAAAGGAAAAUUUUGAAGAACUAAAAGUUAAAUAUGUAAUUUUUUUAGAGAAUAAAGUGCAUGAUUUUACUUUUACAUAGAACAAAACGAUAUUAGAGUUGGUGUUGCAUUUUAGUUAUUUACUCCCUCUAUCCAUAAAGUUGUCACUGACUUUGUUUUGAUAAAAAAUUUCAACUUUCACCCCUAUAAUUUAAAUAUUUUAAUUAAUUAGAUUUUACAAUAUAUAUAUAUAUAUAUAUAAACUACUUCAUUCAAAGUUGUUAAAAAACAAUUUUAUAAUUUUUAUAAUUAUAAAAAUAAAAUAAAAUUAAAAAUUUUCAAAGUUUAAAAUGUUUUAUCAGCAAUUAGUCAACCAAUGAGAACUUUAUUGGGACAGGAGUAUUCAUUUCUAAUCAAUUAAGAUUUUGGUUUUUACUAUUUACUUUUACUUUAUAGCAAAAUUUUAAGAAGCGAAAUGCAAAGAGCAAAAGCAAAUACUAAGUCCUUAGCUCAGUGCCUGAAGUAAUGAAUUAUGAAGAGAAAAUGGAGAGACAAAUCAAGAACAGAACCUCUUUUGUAGCAGUAGGAGAGUAAGUUGGAAAGGCCGAAAGUGCAGGCCGUAUCUUCUGUAAGGACUGUCCCAACAUCUAAACAAACAAAACCAUCAAUACCCAUAAAUCAAAAUGGGAAAUAUUGCUCAAAAAUAAAGAGAAGUGGCAGUACCAGAAGGAAAAGAGCUUGGUUGCAGUAGUCGAACUUAGUCGGAAAACGGCUCAAAUUUCAAAUACUUAGGAUAGAAUUGGGGUUAUUCGAUUGGAAUCUAUUAAAAGAUGGAGAAGCUAGAGGGCUUUCUGGGUUCCAAAAUGAGGGAGAGUUUUUUAAAAGUUCGGUGUCGUGAGGCAGGCAGGCUGGUAGCUGCCGGGGAGAAACACAAAGCAAAGAGCUGCUGUGCUGAGGAAGACGUGCCCAGGGUUUACUCAGGGUUUUACGAAGAGCGUCCGACAAAGGUACCUUAAAACUAAAACUCCUCAACAUAUCCGCCCUUCAGCUAACUGCUACCUAAAGGUGUUCAGGGCCGGGUUACCCGUAAGUUUAACCCGCCCAAUAUGAUUAGGUUUGGAUUCAGUUCCAAAAAAGUUAUUUUCUCAAUGAAAUAUAAUUUUUUAAAAAAAUUAUUUUAUGUAAAUAAAGCCUAACCCAUGACUACUUAAGAAAUGUACCAAUUUUAUAUAUUUUUUUGGUACCAUUUUUCAUAAUUGCAUUAGAUACCUAUACUUUCUCUAAAAACAUCACACGUGGAAUAUCAAAUUCUAGGCGUAUACAGGGGCGAAGGGAGAGGGUAGCGGCCGCUACCUCUCAAUUUUUAUUUUAUUUUUUAUUUUAGUAUAUAAAAUUCAUAAUAUGUAAUUUUCUCACCCUUACACAAAAUAGAUGAGCUAGUUUGAAGUAGUGGUAAAAAAUUUAAGUUAAUCUUCAAAAGUUAGAUUCAAUUCUUUUUAAGUUCUAAUUUUAGAAUUUUUUUUUUAUAAGUAUAGGCAUAAUAUUUAUAAUAACAAAUCAAUAUAUCAUAUCAUUAUUAAUCAUAAUAUAUCAACAUAUCAUAUCAAUUAUGAUAUAUUAAUAUGACACAUUAACAUUAUACAAUAUAAAAUAAUAAAUAAAAUUUAACCUAAAUCAAUUAUUAAAUAUAAAAAAUUAUUUAACUUAAAAUAAUAAUAUAUAAAAUUUAAUCAAACAUAAUUAUAAAUAUAAACACUUAUUUUAAUUUUCUUAAAUAAUUUAAAAUUUUAUUUAUACAUAAUGCUAUAAAGAUACUAAACUUUCUUUUUUUUUCUCCUUUAUAAAUAUAUUAUUUAUAAUUUAAAAAUUUAUAUUUAAACUAUUAAUAAUAUUUUAUAUUAUAAUUUAAUUUAAUUUUAAUAAUAAUUAAUAUAAUUAAUUUUUUAUUUUAAAACAAAUUAUUGAAUUAUUGAUCCGACCUAUAUCAACAUGCCAAUUAUUUCCCCAGAGAUGCCUUCGAAGCCAAGUCAAUAAAACGUAACUUGACAUCCCACUCUAGGUGACGUUUCACCUUCACCACCUAAACCCAUAAAUCAGCAAGGACAAACAUGCAUUAUUUCUAAUAUUUUCCCAUAAUAAUCACAACUGAGCUGACAAACUGUCAUAAAAAAAGAAUUCAUGAUAAGAUUUCAAAACCAAGUAUCAAAUAUAAUUUCCAUAAAAGUUUAUGACCGCAAACUGACACUAAUUUAAAUUUUCUCGUACAAUAGCUAUUAACAUUCAUGUUCUCAGGGGAAAAAAACCUUGAAUAUGAAAAUUAAAGAAAAUAAAAGAAAGAAGCAGGACAAUCACUCUCCAGCUACAAACAUCCUAUUAAGCAACAUGGUUGAAAGAUUCAUGGAAAGGAAGGAAUUGAGAGCACCAAUUGUCUGCCCACCACCAUAUCCAGAGGGCCAGCAUCUCAAUCGCGGUGACACCAGCGGUCAUCACAAGUCACAACGGAUGAAAGGCUUACAUAAUACAUCAAGAUCAAAGUACACCCUCCUUCAAUGAUCUCCACCUUCAACACUUCCCCACAUCAACCAGACUUUGAGUUCACUUGACACAGGACACAAAAAAGCCAACUAAAUGGAAAAUGUAACUCACCAUCAAAGCACUAAUAAAACUUAGAAGCACUUCCUGUGGACAAUGGAUGGACCAGACUCAUCAUACUCGCCCUUGGAAAUCCACAUCUGAUGCAACAGGUAAAGCAAGAAUGUCAGUCUUGGCCCUCUUGGACAACCAACUUAUGCAUAAAACAUAACCGAAUGUAAGUAAAAAUAUUUCACCUGCUGGAAGGUGCUGAGCGAUGCCAAGAUAGAUCCUCCAAUCCAAACACUGUACUUUCUCUCUGGUGGUGCAACGACCUUAAUCUUCAUGCUGCUUGGAGCAAGGGCAGUGAUCUCCUUGCUCAUUCGGUCUGCAAUACCAGGGAACAUAGUUGAACCACCACUGAGCACAAUGUUACCAUAGAGAUCUUUCCUGAUAUCCACGUCACACUUCAUGAUAGAGUUGUAGGUAGUCUCAUGGAUUCCAGCAGCUUCCAUCCCAAUGAGAGAUGGCUGGAAGAGGACUUCUGGACAACGGAAUCUCUCAGCUCCAAUAGUAAUGACUUGUCCAUCAGGCAACUCAUAGUUCUUCUCAACAGAUGAGCUGCUCUUAGCAGUCUCAAGUUCCUGCUCGUAGUCCAGGGCAACAUAAGCAAGCUUCUCCUUCAUGUCACGAACAAUUUCCCGUUCAGCAGUGGUGGUAAACAUGUAACCUCUCUCAGUAAGAAUCUUCAUCAAAGCAUCAGUGAGAUCACGACCAGCAAGGUCUAGACGGAGGAUGGCAUGUGGAAGGGCAUACCCU
This 25560-nucleotide long non-coding RNA is filed under the name Theobroma cacao (cacao). RNAcentral describes it as "long non-coding RNA (TCAC_LNC000106)". The record is from RNAcentral. Lineage: Eukaryota; Viridiplantae; Streptophyta; Magnoliopsida; Malvales; Malvaceae.